GACGAACGCUGGCGGCGUGCCUAAUACAUGCAAGUCGAACGCAGUGGGGACGGGUGAGUAACACGUGGGUAACCUCCCAUCAGAGGGGAUAACACUUGGAAACAGGUGCUAAACCGAUACUGAUGGAGGAACCCGCGGUGCAUUAGCUCGUUGGUGAGGUAACGGCUCACCAGGGCCAAGAUGCAUAGCCGACCGUGGAGGGUGAGCGGCCACACUGGGACGUAGACACGGCCCAGACUCCUACUGGAGGCAGCAGUAGGGAACCUUCGGCAAUGGACGAAAGUCUGACCGAGCAACGCCGCGUGAGUGAAGAAGGUUUUCGGAUCGUAAAACUCUGUUGUGAGAGAAGCGGUAUCUAACCAGAAAGCCACGGCUAACUACGUGCCAGCAGCCGCGGUAAUUC
RNAcentral lists this ribosomal RNA (403 nucleotides) under uncultured bacterium. RNAcentral describes it as "partial 16S ribosomal RNA". It matches the Rfam family "Bacterial small subunit ribosomal RNA", at positions 28 to 526 of the family's 1533-position model. The record is from RNAcentral.